Cryptomeria japonica (Japanese cedar) is the source of this 625-nucleotide long non-coding RNA. RefSeq lists it as uncharacterized. The transcript has 2 exons. The record is from RefSeq and is a predicted model, not a curated record. Lineage: Eukaryota; Viridiplantae; Streptophyta; Pinopsida; Cupressales; Cupressaceae.
GACUCCGCUACAAAAUGUUCAAAAUUCGUUAUACACGUCGAUCACUCUGACCAAUAGGCGUCUUCCAAUGACGUGUAGAUCCUACCAUUUUGACCGUGUACUUAAUCAAAGUAGGACCAGGGUUAAAAGUAAACCCUUCCCAUCCUGCAUUAUUUGAGUGUCUAUUUAUAUAAAGCCUUGUUUUCAUCAAUUCUGAUUCUUUCAUUGGUGUGGAAAAGACUGUAGCGUGUGUAAUAAACAGAUCGGCGGGAGGGUUCUCAUAUCAGACUCAAUCCAAGUUUCAGAUUCAAAAUGGUGUCAAGGGGUGGUGAUAAUCCUCCUAGGGGUAGUGCGGCAGCUGCUGGGAUGCGAAGGAGGAGAAUGACAGGUGCUGGAGCUGGAAGCAGCAACAGCAGCAAUAUGCUGAGGUUUUAUACUGAUGAUGCUCCAGGACUAAAAAUCACACCUACUGUGGUAUUAGUGAUGAGCCUUGGUUUCAUUGGUUUUGUAACUACUCUACAUGUAAUUGGUAAACUCUACCAGUAUAGGACCGGAGGAAUGUGAUGAUAUUCAGAAUCUGGCUAGAAAACGGAGUUGGAGUAGCAAAUGUAUUUUUUUCUAAUAAAGAGAACUUAAUUUUGAGUAA